CCUACGGGAGGCAGCAGUGAGGAAUAUUGGUCAAUGGGCGCAAGCCUGAACCAGCCAUGUCGCGUGCAGGAAGACUGCCCUAUGGGUUGUAAACUGCUUUUAUAGUAGAAGAAACACAUCUACGAGUAGAUGUCUGCCAGUAUACUAUGAAUAAGCAUCGGCUAACUCCGUGCCAGCAGCCGCGGUAAUACGGAGGAUGCAAGCGUUAUCCGGAUUUAUUGGGUUUAAAGGGUGCGUAGGUGGGCUUAUAAGUCAGCGGUGAAAUCCCCCGGCUCAACCAGGGAAUUGCCGUUGAUACUGUUAGCCUUGAGUACAGUUGAAGUGGGCGGAAUGUAGCAUGUAGCGGUGAAAUGCAUAGAUAUGCUACAGAACACCAAUAGCGAAGGCAGCUCACUAAGUUGUAACUGACACUAAUGCACGAAAGCGUGGGGAUCAAACAGGAUUAGAUACCCUGGUAGUCCACGCUGUAAACGAUGAUCACUCGUUGUUGGCGAUAUACAGUCAGCGACUGAACGAAAGUAUUAAGUGAUCCACCUGGGGAGUACGAUCGCAAGGUUGAAACUCAAAUGAAUUGACGG
RNAcentral lists this ribosomal RNA (578 nucleotides) under uncultured bacterium. RNAcentral's name for it is "bacterial SSU rRNA". It matches the Rfam family "Bacterial small subunit ribosomal RNA", at positions 338 to 916 of the family's 1533-position model. The record is from RNAcentral.